CACACUCUCUGAGGGGUCAGUGUUGAGAUAUUUUAACAGGCUUGGUUUGGAUCUAUGAGGGUUCAACACACAUCUAUUCCAUCAGACUAUUAAGACGUAUAUUAUCAGACGUGUCGGGGACUAGGAGGCGUCAGUAUGUAAAAGUAUUCUAUCAGACUUGUGUCGGGGACUAGGAGGCGUCAGUAUGUAAAGGUAUUCUAUCAGACUUGUGUCGGGGACUAGGAGGCGUCAGUAUGUAAAGGUAUUCUAUCAGACUUGUGUCGGGGACUAGGAGGUGUCAGUA
Long non-coding RNA from Haliotis rubra (blacklip abalone), 283 nucleotides. RefSeq lists it as uncharacterized. The transcript has 2 exons. NCBI's taxonomy places the organism in Eukaryota, Metazoa, Mollusca, Gastropoda, Lepetellida, Haliotidae. The record is from RefSeq and is a predicted model, not a curated record.